CAUGGGGAUAGGUGAUUAAUGUAAAAAUUUCAUUUUGGGGUAGAUUAACCCUUUAAUAGUACUUUUCAGGAUUUGUUGAUGAAUAGAAAGUUAUUAAUCUCUUUACCUUCGAUCAAUUUAAUGAACCCUUGCUGAAAAGAAGUAUACAUUUAAGAGGAAAAAAAACUGACACUGUUUGUACACGUGAAAGACAUUUCAAAGACAUGCCAGAUAAAUCCAAUUGUAGGAGGUUUGAAUUCAUUAUUUCCUGAAAAUGAAGUGCUGAAAUCAAGGCUUUGAUUUUUAAGAAUCAGUAGCGGAGCGCAGCGUGAUUUGAGUGGCAGGAAACUGAGAGUCUUAGGAUCUGUCAAGCUGCAAAGAGAAGUUUUGGAGUCACUCCACCUUGCGUUUCCUUCCUUCUAAAUCCCUCAUUGUGUGUUUGCCGUUUCCCUCUCUCUCUCUCUCUCUCUCUCUCUCUCUCGCUGUAUCUCUUCUCUCUGCUCUCUGCCAGCUUUAUGAGAGCUUAUUUUAGACCAUCUAAAUGUGAUCUGGCAGCUCCCAGCUAAUGUCAGAACAAAAGCCACGUGCACGCUCGCAAAGAGCAGAGAAGAAAAGAAGCUGAUGGGACGCUGCUAAAUGUAAACACUGUGCUUCCUCUGCCUGUGGAUUGUGGGUAAUGGGGUGCUACCUCCUUUCUCAGACAUACAUUAUACAUCGCAUCUUCACCAAAUCCGCAGCGCUGUAGGUAUGGCCCCUGAGGGCCCUUUAAACACCAUGACCUAAAGCACAAACGGACCCUUUCUUAUACAAUAAUAGUGUGUUUCUUACUCUUUUAUGGUGCAGUGGCGUACAGAGGAAAUAGACUCCAAUUCCCAGAGCACUUGCGGUUGGACUUUUCGCACAUGCUCCAUGCGUUUGGCAGCUCGGGCUCCAUGUGCUGCCGUAAUGAGAAGCACCGGCCCCCGGCACUUAAUCAACAGGACAGCAGUUCAACGUGGCCCACUAACAUAGCAUGAGACGGGUCAAUCCCUCCUUCACACUGAUGCCUCAGGAGAGUCAGGAAACAUUAUGGUGCAUAAACAUUGAAAAUAACCGCACACAGGGGAGGAUUGGAGAAAACCAGAGGAAGAGGAUGGAAGGAGGAUGAGGCCUCCUCUUCUUCCUUUCUUUCUUUCUAACAGCUGAAUCUGCCAGACUGAAACAGUCUGCAAUCAACAAGUGGCACCCAAUAUCUAAACUUUUUUCUUCUUUUGUCUUAUCAGAAUAUUAAGGCUUGAAGAUUUCAUUAGGGUUGUGUGACAUUUAUCAUCUACAAUAACAUCGCAGUUGUUAUUUUUAAUUAGCUCACAUUAUGUCGCUCAAAAAAAUUAAGAAAGAAAAAUUCAUGGUAUUAUAAUGCUUAUUAGAAUGAAGUUAAAAUGCUUCUAUAUUUUAAGUUAGGAAAGCAAAAAAUAUAUAUACCUGUAUGGGUCUUUGUUAUUUUUUUUAUUUUUAUACUCAUGAUAUGAUAUAGUUAAGUAAUAACACAUAAGCAAGAGGGCUGUUUUCCUAAAUAUUAGAUUGUGAGCAUCAACUAUUUACACAACAGUUAAAAAACAUUAAGUUAAUAUUGAGUGAGUAUCAUUGUAGACACAAUAGUCUUUUUUUUUCUUUUUCAUUUAGCUGUUUCACCAGUGAAAACUGUGCAUUGUUGGCGCGUUUCCAUUUUGAGGGUCUGAAAAUAGACUCCGCUCAACAUAGACCUACUCAAACCUGGUCUAAAGUCUGGUGCAAUGUUUUUUCUUUGUUAUGUAAAAAGCGUGUUAGUAUAGGCAGGUCCACAAUGCACGUACACACUGCUUAUUAAACACACAGGGACACAA
Carassius auratus (goldfish) is the source of this 1841-nucleotide long non-coding RNA. RefSeq lists it as uncharacterized. The transcript is spliced from 3 exons. NCBI's taxonomy places the organism in Eukaryota, Metazoa, Chordata, Actinopteri, Cypriniformes, Cyprinidae. The record is from RefSeq and is a predicted model, not a curated record.